Molecule: ribosomal RNA, 433 nt
Filed under: uncultured bacterium
Lineage: Bacteria
Description: partial 16S ribosomal RNA
Rfam family: Bacterial small subunit ribosomal RNA
Source: RNAcentral
AACGAACGCUGGCGGCAUGCCUAACACAUGCAAGUCGAACGAGACCUUCGGGUCUAGUGGCGCACGGGUGCGUAACGCGUGGGAACCUGCCCUUAGGUUCGGAAUAACUCUCCGAAAGGGGUGCUAAUACCGGAUAAUUUCUUCGGACCAAAGAUUUAUCGCCUUUGGAUGGGCCCGCGUUGGAUUAGCUAGUUGGUAGGGUAAAAGCCUACCAAGGCGACGAUCCAUAGCUGGUCUGAGAGGAUGAUCAGCCACACUGGGACUGGGACACGGCCCAGACUCCUACGGGAGGCAGCAGUGGGGAAUAUUGGACCAUGGGCGAAAGCCUGAUCCAGCAAUGCCGCGUGAGUGAUGAAGGCCUUAGGGUUGUAAAGCUCUUUUAACCGGGAUGAUAAUGACAGUACCGGGAGAAUAAGCUCCGGCUAACUCCGUG